Molecule: ribosomal RNA, 492 nt
Filed under: uncultured bacterium
Lineage: Bacteria
Description: partial 16S ribosomal RNA
Rfam family: Bacterial small subunit ribosomal RNA
Source: RNAcentral
AGUGAACGCUGGCGGUAGGCCUAACACAUGCAAGUCGAACGGCAGCACAGUAAGAGCUUGCUCUUACGGGUGGCGAGUGGCGGACGGGUGAGGAAUACAUCGGAAUCUACUUUUUCGUGGGGGAUAACGUAGGGAAACUUACGCUAAUACCGCAUACGACCUACGGGUGAAAGCAGGGGAUCUUCGGACCUUGCGCGAUUGAAUGAGCCGAUGUCGGAUUAGCUAGUUGGCGGGGUAAAGGCCCACCAAGGCGACGAUCCGUAGCUGGUCUGAGAGGAUGAUCAGCCACACGGGAACGGAGACAGGGUCCAGACGCCUGAGGGAGGCAGCAGUGGGGAAUAGUGGACAAUGGGGGGAAGCCUGAUCCAGCCAGACCGCGUGGGUGAAGAAGGCGUUCGGGUUGUAAAGCCCUUUUGUUGGGAAAGAAAAGCAGCAGGUUAAUACCCCGCUGUUCUGACGGUACCCAAAGAAUAAGCACCGGCUAACUUCGUG